GAUGAACGCUGGCGGCGUGCUUAACACAUGCAAGUCGAACGGUAACGCCCUGCUUGCUGGGUGGUUUAGUGGGGAAAGGGCGUGUGACACGUGAGUACAAUGCCCUCUACUCUGUGGUAAGCCUUCACGAAUGGGGCUAAUACCGGAUAUGGGAGCCCACCGCCUGGUGGGGGCUGGGGAGAUUUGUCGCUUUUGGGUGGGCUCGCGGCGUAUCAGCUUGUUCGUGGGGGAGUGGCGCACCCCGGCGACGUCGGGUAGCCGGCCUGAGAGGGUGACCGGCCACACUGGGACUGAGAGACGGCCCAGACUCCUACGGGAGGCAGCAGUGGGGAAUAUUGCACAAUGGGCGGAAGCCUGAUGCAGCGACGCCGCGUGCGGGAUGACGGCCUUCGGGUUGUAAACCGCUUUCGGUUGAGACGAAGCGGGAGUGACGGUACCUGCAGAAGAAGCACCGGCUAACUACGUG
This 466-nucleotide ribosomal RNA is filed under the name uncultured bacterium. RNAcentral's name for it is "partial 16S ribosomal RNA". It matches the Rfam family "Bacterial small subunit ribosomal RNA", at positions 28 to 507 of the family's 1533-position model. The record is from RNAcentral.